This is a non-coding RNA of Cordylochernes scorpioides, 73 nucleotides long. Lineage: Eukaryota; Metazoa; Arthropoda; Arachnida; Pseudoscorpiones; Chernetidae. The record is from the annotation of a GenBank genome assembly.
UCCAGGGUAGCCUAGUGGACAUGGCAUCUGCCCGGUAAGCGGGACGUUGUGGGUUCGAUUCCCGCCCCUGGAC